Molecule: long non-coding RNA, 649 nt
Filed under: Nicotiana benthamiana
Lineage: Eukaryota; Viridiplantae; Streptophyta; Magnoliopsida; Solanales; Solanaceae
Description: long non-coding RNA (NBEN_LNC023529)
Source: RNAcentral
UGAUGAUAUAGUAUUGAUAGAUGAGACGAGGGUCGGUGUUAGUGAAAGGCUAGAGGUAUGGAGACAGACUCUCGAGUCUAAAGGUUUCAAAAUAAGCAGUUCUAAGACAGAAUACUUGGAGUGCAAGUUUAGUGCCGAGCCGAGCGAAGUAGGCAGGGACGUGAUGAUUGGAUCUUAGGUCAUCGCAAAGAGGGACAGUGUCAAAUAUCUUGGGUCGGUGAUUCAGGGGGACGGAGAGAUUGACGGGGACGUCACUCAUCGUAUAGGAGUGGGAUGGUCAAAGUGGAGGCUUGCACAGGAGUCCUGUGUGACAAGAAAGUUCCACAGAAACUCAAGGGGAAAUUUUAUAGAGCUGUGGUUAGACCUGCAAUGUUGUAUGGGGAAAAUGAAGUAGCACGCUUAAAAAUGUCAUUUGAUACUAAGACCAAGCAAGACAAAAAUAGAAUUGUUACACGUCUUAAUAUCUAAUAUUAAGGAAAUUAAAUCAACUAGCACGGUCAAAGUGGAGGCUUGCAUCAGGAGUCCUGUGUGAUAAGAAAGUUCCACAUAAACUCAAGGGGAAAUUUUAUGGAGCUGUGGUUAGACCUGCAAUGUUCUAUGGGGCGGAGUGCUGGCCCGCGAAGAACUCUCAUGUUCAGAGAAUGAAGGU